Molecule: ribosomal RNA, 162 nt
Filed under: Sium suave
Lineage: Eukaryota; Viridiplantae; Streptophyta; Magnoliopsida; Apiales; Apiaceae
Description: 5.8S ribosomal RNA
Rfam family: 5.8S ribosomal RNA
About the family: 5.8S ribosomal RNA (5.8S rRNA) is a component of the large subunit of the eukaryotic ribosome. It is transcribed by RNA polymerase I as part of the 45S precursor that also contains 18S and 28S rRNA.
Source: RNAcentral
AACGACUCUCGGCAACGGAUAUCCCGGCUCUCGCAUCGAUGAAGAACGUAGCGAAAUGCGAUACUUGGUGUGAAUUGCAGAAUCCCGUGAACCAUCGAGUCUUUGAACGCAAGUUGCGCCCGAGGCCAUUAGGCUAAGGGCACGUCUGCCUGGGUGUCACGC